RNAcentral lists this small RNA (586 nucleotides) under Histoplasma capsulatum. Its description in RNAcentral is "hypothetical RNA". RNAcentral also lists the same sequence under 1 other name. The record is from RNAcentral. Lineage: Eukaryota; Fungi; Ascomycota; Eurotiomycetes; Onygenales; Ajellomycetaceae.
CAGUCAUCAUCUCCCUCAGCCAUCACAUCAUCCAUUCCUUUUCCCAUCCCUCCUCCUUUUUCCUCCUGUCCGUCUUCUCUCCUUCACCUCCUCGUUUCCUAUCCAUCUCCGUCUCCUCCGUCUCCUCCGUCUUCCAUCUUCCGUCUCCCGUCUUCCGUCUCCCAUCUCCCAUCUUCUCUUCGUCCGUCGUCUCUCCCCAUCAUCACCUCCUCCUUUCGCCCCAUCUCCCACCUACUCUGUUUCGCCUCCUCUUCGAACCCCAUCCAGCUACGACCCAUCUCGAAUCCGGAAUGAGAGUGUACUAGUUCAAGGACGAAAGAUCUCGUAUCCACACUUCUUGGUCCGCUUCGUUGCGGUGCACUGCUCUCCUCCGUUCUCCUUCUCUCACCUCCCAAGCCCAACGACCUCGCUUCUCUCGCUUCUGUCAAGAACACCAAAGUAGCCUUCCCUUUUUUUGGUCGUCGUCAAUCAUCUCUUUUCGUCUCGUUAGGACCAACCAAGCGCCCUCUUCCUCCUCCUGUCGGUCGGUUGAGUCUUUAGAGAGCCGAGGAAUUCGUUGUGGUCCUCAAGCACAGGGCCUUCAAAA